This 773-nucleotide ribosomal RNA is filed under the name Labulla thoracica. RNAcentral's name for it is "SSU rRNA". It matches the Rfam family "Eukaryotic small subunit ribosomal RNA", at positions 993 to 1784 of the family's 1831-position model. Lineage: Eukaryota; Metazoa; Arthropoda; Arachnida; Araneae; Linyphiidae. The record is from RNAcentral.
GAGGUUCGAAGACGAUCAGAUACCGCCUUAGUUCUAACCAUAAACGAUGCCAGCCAGCGAUCCGGCUGUGUUCCUCAAAUGACACGCCGGGCAGCUUCCGGGAAACCAAAGCUUUUGGGUUCCGGGGGAAGUAUGGUUGCAAAGCUGAAACUUAAAGGAAUUGACGGAAGGGCACCACCAGGAUUGGAGCCUGCGGCUUAAUUUGACUCAACACGCGAAAACUCACCCGGCCCGGACACAGGAAGGAUUGACAGAUUAAGAGCUCUUUCUUGAUUCUGUGGGUGGUGGUGCAUGGCCGUUCUUAGUUGGUGGAGCGAUUUGUCUGGUUAAUUCCGUUAACGAACGAGACUCUAGCCUACUAAAUAGACGUUCCGAUCCUUCGUGUCGGACGUUCUUCUUAGAGGGACAGGCGGCGUUUAGCCGCACGAGACAGAGCAAUAACAGGUCUGUGAUGCCCUUAGAUGUCCGGGGCCGCACGCGCGCUACAUUGAAGGAAUCAUCGUGUGCUUUCCCUGUCCGAAAGGAUCGGGUAACCCGUUGAACCUCCUUCGUGCUGGGGAUUGGCGAUUGUAACUGUCCGCCAUGAACGAGGAAUUCCCAGUAAGCACGAGUCAUCAGCUCGUGUUGAUUACGUCCCUGCCCUUUGUACACACCGCCCGUCGCUACUACCGAUUGAAUGAUUUAGUGAGGUCUUCGGACUGGCGCUCGGAUUGGCCCUCGGGUCGAGCCGACGUGCCGGAAAGAUGACCAAACUUGAUCAUUUAGAGGAAGUA